RNAcentral lists this ribosomal RNA (640 nucleotides) under uncultured Oxalobacteraceae bacterium. Its description in RNAcentral is "bacterial SSU rRNA". It matches the Rfam family "Bacterial small subunit ribosomal RNA", at positions 77 to 712 of the family's 1533-position model. The record is from RNAcentral. Lineage: Bacteria; Pseudomonadati; Pseudomonadota; Betaproteobacteria; Burkholderiales; Oxalobacteraceae.
AGCUUGCUCCUGGUGGCGAGUGGCGAACGGGUGAGUAAUAUAUCGGAACGUGCCCUUGAGUGGGGGAUAACUAGUCGAAAGAUUAGCUAAUACCGCAUACGAUCUGGGGAUGAAAGUGGGGGCUCGCAAGACCUCACGCUCGUGGAGCGGCCGAUAUCUGAUUAGCUAGUUGGUGGGGUAAAGGCUCACCAAGGCGACGAUCAGUAGCUGGUCUGAGAGGACGGCCAGCCACACUGGAACUGAGAGACGGUCCAGACUCCUACGGGAGGCAGCAGUGGGGAAUUUUGGACAAUGGGCGCAAGCCUGAUCCAGCAAUGCCGCGUGAGUGAAGAAGGCCUUCGGGUUGUAAAGCUCUUUUGUCAGGGAAGAAACGGUGGAGGUUAAUACCCUUUACUAAUGACGGUACCUGAAGAAUAAGCACCGGCUAACUACGUGCCAGCAGCCGCGGUAAUACGUAGGGUGCGAGCGUUAAUCGGAAUUACUGGGCGUAAAGUGUGCGCAGGCGGUUGUGCAAGACAGAUGUGAAAUCCCCGGGCUCAACCCUGGAAUUGCAUUUGUGACUGCACGGCUAGAGUGUGUCAGAGGGGGGUAGAAUUCCACGUGUAGCAGUGAAAUGCGUAGAUAUGUGGAGGAAUACCGA